AUGGCACUACGUUUUGGCAUAUUACUUGCACAAAAGGCGGGAAGCAACCGACUUGUUGUUAACUCCGACAAUAUGAAAGUAAUUGACACAAUGAAUAAUGGAGGACAUACAAUGGGAGCGGCGACAGCUGUGUUUGAUGAUUGUUAUUUUAUGGCUUGUGAUUUUCUGUUAGUUAGAUUUGAACAUUGUAAUAGAAAGGCAAAUAAAGUAGCUCAUGAAAUUGCUAGAGUAGCUAAAUUUUCUAAGACAAGGGAUUGGUUUGAGGAACCUAUGAACGAUAUUGUAAAUUUUCUUAUAUACGAUGUAACCAUUGUUACUAAUAAAUAA
RNAcentral lists this ribosomal RNA (327 nucleotides) under Triticum aestivum (bread wheat). RNAcentral describes it as "partial small subunit ribosomal RNA". The record is from RNAcentral. Lineage: Eukaryota; Viridiplantae; Streptophyta; Magnoliopsida; Poales; Poaceae.